This is a long non-coding RNA of Vespa crabro (European hornet), 5675 nucleotides long. RefSeq lists it as uncharacterized. The record is from RefSeq and is a predicted model, not a curated record. NCBI's taxonomy places the organism in Eukaryota, Metazoa, Arthropoda, Insecta, Hymenoptera, Vespidae. The transcript has 2 exons.
UUACGUACGUAUAUGUUUGCAAUACAUGUAUUUACAUAUAUAUUACGUAAGCGGGAAGAAUUAAUUAAGGUCGAGGUCCGAGCUUUUUAAACAAAUUAUAUUCGUAUCUCUUUUCACAGUCCACGGCACGCAUUAGCGGUCGUUGUAUAAAUAUUCCUAAAGAUUCGUAUUUUAGAGCAUUUUCUAUUAUAUGUAUGCGUUAUGUUCUUGUCAUUUUACCUUCCUCGCCGUUAUAUAUCAGGAUGUAAAUUAUCAUUUUAGGAAAUUUUGCAUUUUCUCUCUUUCUCUUUCUCUUUCCAUUUCUCCAUUUUCUUCUAUCCACCUAUUCCUAUUUCUCUCUCUCUCACUUUCUAUGUCCAUGUCUACCUCAUAGAGAUGAAUAAAACGCUGGAGCGGCAAAUUAACUUGUAAUUUCGUACUAAUAAUAUUAUAGUACUGACAUAGAGAGUAAGAAAGCUAUAACGAAAUGACAUAUUUGAAUUUCUUUCGAUCUGCACGAUUUUUACCUUUGUCUCUGUCAACCAAUUAAUUUCUUCUCUUUUUUUCUCUCUCUCUCUCUCUAUUAAGACCCGAGAAAACUUCAUGUCCCUUUCACCACGUUUUUACUCUCGUUGUAUAAAAAGAAUUUAAUGGACUAUUUUCCUCUUCUUAUUUUCCAUUGAAUUUUUAUUUCUCCAUAUGUCUGUUUCUCUCUCUCUCUCUCUCUCUCUCUCUCUCUCUCUAUUUCCCCCCUCCCUCAUCUAUUCUUCCGUUUUCAAAAAGACCAUUCCUCUUCCGCACGUGACUUUUCUCUCUAUCUUUUUAACUCCAUUAUUGUCAUCAUCGUUUUACCUAUCGAUUUUAUUCAUUCUGUCUCGAGUGUUGCUUGUGCCGGUUUAAGAUCUACAAACCGCGACCCUUUCACACUUCACCAAAGGGAAAUCCAAGUACGGUCGUUACGAGGCGAAUAAAUAAAUUAUUCAGGAGCAUGAAUAGGUGUAGAAAAAUGACGUUAUGGAAGAGAAGAAAUAAGAAUUAGAGGAGAAGAGUGGUGGUUACGGGGUUGUUCCAUGAAUUUCGUUACGCCUGACAGGGUGCCAAUUGGAACCGGGCCAAGUAGUCAAAUGUUUCGCAGCACUUAAACCAGAGAAAUGCAACAGAUGCAUCCACUUGUUACGUUGCGUUGCUAUAACCGUCUGCUCUAUCCAGCUACUACCUUCUUUUACAGUUUUCAUCGUAAUUUGCCGGUUCCCUUCAAUGCCGGAUCUAGGUCUUAUCGUGUCCCUUUUCUUUAUUUUCUUCGUUUCACGACUCGCUUACUCGUGCAAUACGCGCUACGGAUUCGACCGAGUUAGACGAAUAUUAGUUAUCGAAAAUCGAUCGGGUGCAACCCGUUGGACGAGGAAUAAUCUUAAUAUCGUAAAUCUCUCGUCGUUAGAUCGAGCACGAGUCGUGUUAUUUUCAUGUCGGGAAGGAAGAUGUGCGCCAUUUUUGCACAAUUGUAAAAAAAGUUGAUUACUUUUAGUAGUCGCUUUUUCUUUUCUUUUCUUUUUUUUUUUUUUUUUUAAUUUUUAACCAGAGGCCAUCUUCGACCCGACAAAAGUGUAAAUUCUUUUAUAUAUUUUGGAGAUUACUACGUUACGCGAGAAGGUAAAGAUUUUCUCUCGAUAUAUCGAUACAUAGUGAUAGGGUUGAUCGUAAACUAAUAAAAGUCCCCUUUUUUCUUUUAACUAAGAUCUUAACGUGAUUUCAAGGCGAAGUUACGACUCUCGACAGAUUUCCGAUAUAUUAUCAGACAUAUUUAUCUUGUUCCGAAUGUUCUAUUAGAAAAAGUGACUUUUUAUUUGCGAUAAAUAAAAAGCGAAUGUUAAGAAAUAUGAAAGAGAUGUGAAAAUAUAGAUUUUAUUUCGAAAGAUAAUUCAUUAUUUCUUUGUGGAGAGAAAAGUGAGACGUGAUCAUUUUUACAAGUUCACCAUAACGAAUACGUAUCUGUCAGUUUUCUUGGAAGUUCUUCUUAAAGUUUAUACUUUUACUUCAAAAGUAUAUAUUGUGUCCACGUUGAAGAUAAAAUCCUUUCACACUGAAGCUCGCUUUUAUUCCCAACGAGAUAUAGAUAUCGUAAGGAUCGUUUGCGGGGGAAAAAGUAAUUAGUAGGUAAGAGGUUCUACGUAAUAAGGAUGAAGAAAAUUAGAUAAAAGAAUGCUCUCUUUAAACUGGACUCUCUUGUCGUCGUUGUCGUCGUCGUUUAUCAAUUUUAAUUUCAACAAUUUUUCCUUGAAAAUAAUGCAAAACGAAAGAAGAAGAAGAAGAAGAAAAAAAAGGGGAAAAAAAUCAAAUCGAUUUUUGAACGGAAGAAUUUUCUUUCUCUUUUUUCUUUUUUUUGCUUUUUUUUUUUUCUUUUUCUUUUUCGUUAGAAAAACUUUCUAUGACAGUCUUCAAAGGGGAAGGGUAGAAAACGAAAAAGUGAGGAGGGAAAAAGUGAGCCGAGGGAAAAGAGACAGACGUUUCGUUAUUGUUCAAGAAAACUCCUAUGAAAAUUCUGGAAGAAUAAUGGAAGAAAGAGGAACACGAUCGAGAAAGUAUUUUUAACGGGGAAGAGAAUAGAGAAAUGAUACGAAUGAAUUAUAAAACAGAGUUUCUUUAGUUACAGAGACACGAAUGAAAUGAUAACAAGGGGUCUCGUAGUUUUUCGCGAGAAGGAAAACAAGAACGAUAGUGGUAAACUAUGUUUACCUAUAUCACCUUCGGUGAUAUCGAUCUACUCUCCCUCUCUCUCUCUCUCUCUCUCACUCUAUCGUUCUCUCACUCGGUCUUUGCCUCUCUAUACUCACAGACGUAGUCUCACACACUGUUUGACAUUGGAAGGUAACGAACGUUCAAAGAACGUAGUAAACAAAACUUUCUCGCUUAUCUUCUUUUUCUUUAUUUAUUUUUCUUUUUUUUUCUUUUUUUUUUUCUUCUUUUACCGCCGUAAUCUCUAGCCGUAUCUACGUAUAUCUCCCCUCAUUUAACUUUAAUACGCCAACGAGUCAAGUGUACCCAUCGUUGAAAUAAUUCCGCUAUAUUUCGAAAUUAUUACGCAUUAGUUAUUACGUCGAUUCUCAUAUAAUCUGAUAUUGGCAAAACAAUCAAGAGAAAAUAUUCAAGCGAGCCGACAGACGACGACAAGUUUAGUACAUAUAUAAAUAUCUUGCGAAGUCGAAAGCUAUAUAAUUUAUUACUAGAUCUGCGAUUGAAACGAAUAAUUGACGAAGGUUUAAGGAAUACUAUAAAUCCGUCGUAAACGUUGUAAAUUCUUCACGUUUCCUUGGAGCAAGAUGGAUUGUAGCUUGUAGAUAUAUAAAUAUGUAUAUCUAUAUAUAUAUAUAUAUAUAUAUAUAUAUAUAUGUGUGUGUGUGUGUGUGUGUGGCAAUGUAAAAGUAAAGUAUCCAAGGCACGAGAUAACAAAAUGUAGGAUCUCGAGAAAAGUUAAGUUAGUAUCUGGCUAUGAGAAAAGAUCCGAAAGUAAAGCAGUCCAAUCGAAUUCGUACGACUUGAAAAGUUCACGAAAGGAUAUCGAGCCGCGUCGAUGUCGAAUCAGGUGUUCCACGAUAUUUUUCUCGGAGUUUGAACUUUUUUAACGCGAAAUGGAGCACGAAGAAACGAUCGGCAAUGUUUUCCAUUUUGUUUCACCCUUUUAUAAGUUUCCUAACGUAAGAGUUAAACCAUUUGGUAAGCUUUCACGAAGCUUCGUUAUUUUCUUAUAUCUCCUAUAUAAAUAUGUUUCUUUAUCGUCGUUCGUAAUGUUUUCUUCGAUAACGUUUACAAAAUAGUUAAUACGAAAUGUAAUGAAAAGUAUUAAUGUAGAAAAUGUACUGUGAAAACAAAUUUUAUGAAUAACGUACAAGUAUUUUAUAUGUGUUUACGAAAGAAGUUAAGCGAAUUAAAGAGAAAGAGAGAGGGAGAAGCAAGACGAGAAAUAGGUAGGUAGGUAAUACAUGUGUGUGUUUUCUCGAGGAACAAACCCUUCUGGGAUACGGAUAGAUAUAUAUAUAUAUAUAUAUAUAUACGAUAGGUAUUUAGUCUCGGAGCGUGGACACCGUUAACAUUGGAACAUUGUAUCGAGCUUUCAUUGCAAAUAUUGGUUUUGAGGUUACUCGCGGUAGGAUAGUUUACGUUCGCUUGUAAAAUGCUGAUGCACGGUGGUUACGUUCGGUGUUAACGUCGCUCAACGACUUUAAUCCGAUCGAAAGUCGAAUGAAAAUCCGAAGGACAUUUGCGUGACAUUCGUGGGAUAUUCGUGGUAAGAUCCUCGAUAAAAAAAAAAAAAAAAAAAGAAAAAAGAGGGGAAAAGGAAGGAAGAACGAGGGAUGGAAAAAUGAAGGAAAAAGGAAUAGAGUUUCUCGCGAUCGUGUAAGCAAAUUUGUUUGAUAUCGUUCGAGAUUGAUCACCGACCUCGAGAGUUAUUUUAUAAUAAUCAAUAUCCAUCGCGAAACGAGCUUUUCUCCCUGAUCGAUCUCUCGAAGCUUAAAGCGGCAAAUCGUUUUAAGACGUCGCCGGGAGGACCCGAUUAAUUAAACGCUCAACCCCUCAUGGAAGGUCCGACCCCGAGGGCGUAGCUCUUAACCGUGACGUGACUCGUUCCUCUUACAACGUUCGGAUUUACGAUCGGCGGCAUUUAAUUUGUUUGUAUUCUCGUUUUCUCUCUCUCUCUCUCUCUCUCUCUCUCUCUCUCUUUCUCUAUCCCAUUCUAUCUCUAUCGCUUUUGCGUGCAAGAGAGCAACUCGUUUGACUCGGUUGCCACUUGGCGUCCGGCCGAGCGCGGAGAAUUCUCAUAAAAAGGAGUGCUCGAGAUGUUCCUCCUUACUUCCCGCUAACCUCGAGUUUGAACGUGCUCGAGAUGAUAGCGACUCGAAUUGAGAGGUAAUUACACUCGAAAGUAGCUAAUCGCGUGGUUCUCUUUUCAACGAGAAUAACUUCACUUCUUUUAUCUCUUAUUCUACCGAGUCGAAUCCUUACUCCAUGUUUUUUUCAUGUAUUGCGAUUUCUUUUCUUUUAUUUUUUUUUUUUUUUUUUUUUAAUUUUUUCACAAAAUUACAAAAAUAAGAAAAUACAUAGAAGAUAUAUAAUUGAAAUUUCUCCCACGCUAAUAACUACGCUCGUCUAGUCAAGCGUUACAACGGAAUUGUUACGUCUGGGAACAGCAUUAUCUCGACAUCGGUAAAUCUAUCCGCACGUAUACCUAUCACGGCUUGAAAUUCCAAUCGGGAUGUAUUUUGAUGACGUAUAAUUUAUCAGAUGAUUCGUUAUUAACGUUCGCUUUAUAUAAUUCAUAAUAAUAUCAUUGAUUUUGAAGAAUUUACGAGGGUGAGUGCUUGGACGAGAGAAACUGGCAGGACGAAUGAGAAAGAAAGAGAGAGAGAGAGAGAGAGAAAGAAAGAGAGAAAGAAAGAGAGAUAUCGUGUUAAAUUCGCAUGAAACUAAAAGCAAAGAGCUUAGGUGGUCACAUCGUGUCGGGUAGGAUUAUCACGAGAAGAAGAGAGAGAGAGAGAGAGAGAGAGAAUGUAUGUGUUAUCAUUGUGCACUGUGGUCAACCAGUAAGAGAUAACCUCCCAAUCAGUUUGAACAGUUGAUCACAGGAAACUUUGCCAUUAGCUGUAUAGGUAUCACAUAUAUAUAUAUAUAUAUAUAUAUAUAUAUAUAUAUAUAUAUAUAUA